UUAUGAAACUGACCCUAUAUGUUAUUUUAUAUAUAUAUGAAAUUUCAACUUUGAUUAUGAUAGACUAUCUCUAAUUAAUACAAAUAAAAUAAAAUCAGUUAAAGAGUUAAUUCGAGUAAAAUUGAAAACAUACACUUUAAUUGAAAGAAUGAUAAGUAUAAUAAAAAAAAAAUCCUGCUAAAAUUUAAAAUCCGAAAUUAACUGAAACAACUCAACACUGCUCAAGAGCCGACCAAGCUGAUAGUGGCUUGGUGUGGGCAACGCAUGAACAACAUGCACGCACUACCCAUCGUGAACAUUAAUUUGUGUAUUUCAUGGCGAGAAAGAUAAACAGCAAACUGUUAGUGUAUCAGUAUGAGCAGACACGAGGUUGACUCUCCAAGUCAAACCUGAGUUCCCAUCUCAUGUUUUUGGUCCAGCCUAUCAACUAUCAAGUACUAGGUCAUUUUAUUUUAUUUUUUAAUUUUGUUGUAUAUGUGGAGAAAAAUGGCAGCCGUCGAUGUAUAUUGAGAGUCACACACAGAGUUUAAAUAAGAUAAUAGUUCGUUUAGUUCAUAUAUUUUAAAAUUAUUGUAUAUUUAAUCAUUAUAUUUUUAUAAAUAACUCAAAACGUCUAUGUCAUUAAACUAUUGAUAU
RNAcentral lists this long non-coding RNA (636 nucleotides) under Citrus x clementina. Its description in RNAcentral is "Citrus clementina (C. clementina) long non-coding RNA (CCLE_LNC005464)". The record is from RNAcentral. Lineage: Eukaryota; Viridiplantae; Streptophyta; Magnoliopsida; Sapindales; Rutaceae.